RNAcentral lists this long non-coding RNA (216 nucleotides) under Elaeis guineensis (African oil palm). RNAcentral describes it as "long non-coding RNA (EGUI_LNC004126)". The record is from RNAcentral. Lineage: Eukaryota; Viridiplantae; Streptophyta; Magnoliopsida; Arecales; Arecaceae.
UGCGGAUUAGUGGCCGUGUGAUCUCCCGUGGACAUUCGGCAUGAACCCGAGAAGGAACCCGAGGAAUAGAGAGGCUGAAGCACUGAGAGAGAAGGAGCACGAGGCUCCUAGAUAGCGGAUGUCGGUUACUUCAGGGGUUUAGGGGGAUCUUUCAAGAGAGAGCUUUUGUGAGGGAGAACUUCAGGAGAGAAAAAUUGGGUGUACAAGGGUUGAGGG